RNAcentral lists this non-coding RNA (73 nucleotides) under uncultured Draconibacterium sp. The record is from RNAcentral. Lineage: Bacteria; Pseudomonadati; Bacteroidota; Bacteroidia; Marinilabiliales; Prolixibacteraceae.
UGAGCCGUAUGAGGGGAAACUUUCACGUACGGUUCUUAGAGGGGGAAGCGGCAGUAAUGCCGCCUACCUACUC